AGAAUCAACGCUGGCGGCGUGCCUAACACAUGCAAGUCGAACGAGAAAGUGGAGCAAUCCAUGAGUAAAGUGGCGCACGGGUGAGUAACACGUGACUAACCUACCCUUGAGUGGGGGAUAACCUAGGGAAACCUGGGCUAAUACCGCAUAAUACCUUCGGGUCAAAGGAGCAAUUCGCUUAAGGAGGGGGUCGCGGCCGAUUAGUUAGUUGGCGGGGUAAUGGCCCACCAAGACUGUGAUCGGUAUCCGGCCUGAGAGGGCGCACGGACACACUGGAACUGAAACACGGUCCAGACUCCUACGGGAGGCAGCAGUGGGGAAUUUUGCGCAAUGGGGAAACCCUGACGCAGCAACGCCGCGUGGAGGAUGAAGCCCCUUGGGGCGUAAACUCCUUUCGAUCGGGACGAUAAUGACGGUACCGGAAGAAGAAGCCCCGGCUAACUUCGUGCCAGCAGCCGC
This 459-nucleotide ribosomal RNA is filed under the name uncultured bacterium. Its description in RNAcentral is "SSU rRNA". It matches the Rfam family "Bacterial small subunit ribosomal RNA", at positions 26 to 518 of the family's 1533-position model. The record is from RNAcentral.